AUAAAUAACCAAUAUUCAAAUGAGAACAGACAGAAAGUACACACAAUACUUCAAAUAACAACCAAAAUAAGUUAGUUACACGUAUAACUUAGAUAAAAUGGUAAUCACAGCUAGAAGCUCUACAAGUGUAACCACAACCACAAGCUCUACAUGUUUCUACAAGUGUACCACAAGCUCUACAAGUGCGCUUUGACAGCUUCAAGUGACCCUUCAUGACGGUAGGAAGAUGGUUUCUACCAGUCCCGAUUUAAGGAACACACCAGGCAUCACGGUCUUCCCGAUAGUGCUGACCAAGAUCUCAUCCUUCAUGGGCAUCAAAGUGAUGCAGCUGAAUGUGCCAGGAAAAGGAUUACCUGUCAACAGCCGAAUUUAUACAAGAUAUCAACCUUUCAGUGGUGCAGAAUAUCAUAGAGACACGUGCUUCAGCAUUACAGGGCAUGGAAACGAAAACACAUUUUUACAAAGGGCAUACAAUUAAGAAUUUACUAUCCCCAAAAUUAAAUUAGAAAAAACGAAAAAAACAAUGAAGUGUAAAAGAUGACAACCUUUGUGUUUCUACUUCCUACAAAUGACUAAGAUCCUCAAUAAUAUAGACCCGUUUGUUACAUACUGUACACGAUAUUAGGAGCAAAAUUCUAAUAAAUUCAUUACAGGCUUGCCAAUAAAAAUGACAAGUUACCUACAGACCAGGGAACAUAAAAUUGAGAGGUUGAGAUAAAGGUUUAUCAACUACAUCAUAUAUAUGCAUUAGAAACAAGCCCAUAUGGACAAAUGCAUCAUAAUUAUUAGUUGAAAGUAGGUGCUGCCUCAAAUUUAAAAACUCAACCAUUCAUCAUUAAGAGUAGCGAUUUAAUCUUACUAGACAUAGGGACAUGUACAACGUGAGAGCACACUACAGCCAGAACUUACACGCAAAGAUCCUGGAAUUUUAUGCACAACAACAGCUGAUUAGUCGCUUACUACCGUAGACGAGACGUCAUCCUCAACUACUAGCACACUACCUGCAUCAACCAGAAUAACUAGACUGAGAUUGCAUCAUGGAAACUAGAAUUGGCAAUCGAUUGUUCCACAGUAAUAGAAAAAAAAUACAUGGUCAGUACCUUGCCAUCGUGUUGAUUUGGGACAUCCUCCAUCUUAAAAACUGUCGUGCCAGGGAUGGUGGUGCCUAGUUUUCACUAUUUCUGUUCAUGCUUGCCUGUGCAAAAAAGCAAAAAUGAAUGGACUAUUUCCAUGACUUCUACGCUGAACCAGUUUUUCAUAUAUUUGCACGGGUGAAAAACUCAAGCAAAAGAAGAAAGCAUGCAUGCAAAUUAUUUCUCCCUUUUUAUCUACCUCUCUCUCUCUCCCUCUCUGUGAUUGCCUACACAAACACAUAUUAUUGCC
RNAcentral lists this long non-coding RNA (1383 nucleotides) under Hordeum vulgare. Its description in RNAcentral is "long non-coding RNA (HVUL_LNC011409)". The record is from RNAcentral. Lineage: Eukaryota; Viridiplantae; Streptophyta; Magnoliopsida; Poales; Poaceae.